UAUUUAUUUAUUUAUUUAUUUUACCAUUGGUAUCAUUCCAGUAAUUUCUCAUUUUCUUCAGCUCCCAUGAUAGAUUCUUACUUAUAAACAGUGAACUUUUGCCAGCAAAAUUGUAAACAAUCUUACAUGUGGCUUAUCAACCUGCUGGAGAUUAAUUCUAUGUUUGUGCUUUCUUUACAGACCAAGACUAAGGAUACUGGGCGUGUAGUUACAUACAGUAACUAAUGCAUUUACACAGAUUUUCUCUGAAUACGUAAAUAAGUGUCACAAUUUAGAGAGAAAAGUGAUGACUUAAAAGACUUAAAAGGCAUGCUUUUCCUAUCCUACCCCAAAAACAGAGCUUGCAUUAACAGCAGAUUGAAUUAUUUUCCUGGGACUUGAAAUUAGUUAUGUAUGGCAAAACUUCUGGGCUAAAUUUUCUGUGUAGAUCUAGAUGCUCCUAAGACAUUCGUAUGCCACAGCCCUAUUGUGAAGUUAAUUCUGAAUAUUUUAGCCUUUGCCACGGUCAGACUGUAGUUAUAUCAACUUUUAAUACGCUAAUUUCAUUGCAGUGGUAUUUUAUUUUUUCUGGAAAGUUUCUAACGUAUUCUCCUUUCUUGUGUAGAGAUGCAUCAGCAUCAACAGAAAAUGGCUUGUUGUAACAAGAAACAUGAGAUAUCAGGAAGCUUAUUUGCCUAAGGCAGAGCAAGGGAGAAUGAGAGAAGGGGGAAAAGGAAAAUGAAAGGAACGUAAUUAUCUUCUCUGGAAAAAAUCUUACUAUGCAUUCCUGUGAUUCAUUUCAAUCUCUUCUUUUAUGCACACCAGCCCAAUGUGUGUACUAAUACAGUAUUCAAAUGCCAAUUUACCUCCCAGUGACAAAAUUUGGAGAAAAUUCAGUAUUAUGUGUCACCUACGUGAUGUGAAAAGAAGCAAUGCUUAAUCAAAACAGAAGUAACAGUAUUGCUGUCCUAGGUAUGGGCGAAGAUAUCUGAAUUUCUUUGUUUUUUUCAGUUCUGAUUUCAUGAACAAGCUGACAGAGUACUCAACAGCAUGAAUUUCUGGUGUGUAAAAUAGGAAGUGAAUUGCAAAUAUCUUAACACCGUGUUCCUUGUCAUAAAACCCAGAGGCUGAUAUCUGGUCCUACAUCCCCAACUUUUGCAACACCACUAUGCAUAGGUUUGGUGCAGCUGCUUCGGAAACCUGCUGCUAGGUACUUUCUGCAAAGUGUCACAGUAGUUCUGUUUCAUUGCUGCUGUGAUAAAAUCAGCCAGGUCCUCAUCUCUUCUCAUAGCAGCAGCUGGUCAGGUAAUCAAAAAUGUGAGAUCAAGAGAUAGAUAAAUGUUCUCAUGAUGUUUUUUCUUCUCCCUCCAGAUGUGAUUAUGCAGCAGAAUGUUACACUUGGUUAAAUGUGAGCUGCUGCAGGCAUUUGACUGUAGAGUUCAAAUUAACUGCAGCAGGCACUGGAGGUGGAUAGAGUAACAGACAUAUGCAGCUUGCUGUAUGUCUGAAGGGAGAAGAAUUCUGUGAGCUCUAGGAGUAAUAAAAUCUGAUUUUCUAGAGGAGUUGGUGUUUAAAAGCUUUUUGGCAUGGUUUCAGCAUUUGAAGAUUUUCUGCCUGUUCACCAGUGUUGAAGAUGUAAAUGCAUGCUAGAUUGCUCUCCCUUUGGGAAAAUUAAGCUCAGAUACAAAAGCCUAGAGUACCAUAAAUAAAAAAAAACAACCCUAUGCUAUUACUGAUGAUCAUGACAUUAGUUAAUUGGAUUUGCAUGAUAAAUGAUUGCUACAGCAUUAACUCUCCUGAUAGAACAGUUCAACUAUGAAUCAGUUGGUAAGAGCCUCAUUUAUUGAUGUUACAACAUGAUUUCUGAAGAAAAUCAAAUGAUAAUUCAACUAAUUAACAGUCAGUAAACACUAGAUAGGUCUGUGUGACAUCAAGUUAUAUCUGUAUUUUAUGUAUUGUAGGAGAGUCUUAUGUGGCUUAUCAGUGUUCAUACCGAACAAAGGCUUAUUACAUUAUGAAGUUCUAAAAUUACUGAUAUCUCGAAGACAUUUCAGCUCAGUGGCCUGAAACCGUUUUGGACAGAAGCCAGUUUUGGUAGACUGAACGCCACACUAUUCUUGACAGGAUACAGGCAUGGAUAUUGGUAGCAAAAUUUUGCUUUCAUUGUGAGGAGUGACCAUACUGGACACCAAAUAGUGCCUGGACAUGGCUGUAGCAAGGGCACUGAGGAAAUCCCUAAGGUCUAAUGGCACUAUAUUUAGAAGUAGGAUAAAUGGCUGGCAUGUUUCCUCAUUUGAUAGAGCCCGACUUUAGCAGGAGCAGGGAAAUGGCUGUCUCUCUGUACUUAGCGCUGGUCAAGUACUGUGUUCAGUUUUGGGCCCUCACUGCAAGAAAGACAUUGGUGCCCUAGAACAUGUCCAAAGAAAGGCAAUGAAGCUGCUGAAGGGUGAGGAGUGGCAGAGGGAACUGGGAGUGUUUAAUCCAGAGAAGAGAAAGCUCAGGAAAGACAUUAUUGCUCUCUUACAGCUACUGGAAGGGCUGCUGUAGCAAGGUAGGGGUUGGUCUCUUUUCCCAGAUAAGUAGUGGUAGGACAAGAAGUAGGGCAGUAGACUUUUAGUUGCAUCAGGGAAGAGACAGGUUAGAUAUUAGGAAAAAUGUACUCUCAGAAACGUGGAGAUGUGGCACUUAGAGAUGUGGUUUACUGGGCGUGAUGGUGAUGGGCUGAUGGUUGGACUAGAUGAUCUUAGCAGUCUUUUUUGAUUCUGUGAUACUAUGAACUCUUUCUGAUGGUUUACUUCAUCCUGUUUGGCUGAAGCCUUAAUGAGCUUAUUUUUAGCUAGGCUAUAAGUAUAUCUUAUCCGUGACCAAAAACGUGUUUUAUCUGUGACCAAAACUGACAAAACUGUAACAAAACGGAGACAGCAUCCAGCAUACAUGUGAGUGAAGAUUAGCAGUAGUGAGAUGCUGCUUUCUUGGAUUUUCAAGAAAGAAAUAAAGUUCCCCCAGGACCAGUUUUGCAUAUCAUGAGAGUUCAAAAGGCAACAUCAUAAAACUUAGCAUUGAUACGUGUGGAUUUAAAAUUGCCAAUGAAGGCAUUUCAUCAUUGCAUGAUUUCAGUGCAAGGUUUUAUCUGAUGAUUUCUUUCUUUCUUUCUUUGCAAAUGCUCUGCUUUAUUUAAAAAUUUCAAAGGCAUUCCUUAGGGGAUCUCAGUGAAAAGAAAUAACUAUUACCUUUACUGGUUUAAACAUGGACAGCAUCCUGCUAUAAGAAGAAAUGAUAAUCUGUGAUAUCUUUGAGUACUGCUAGCUAUUUAAAAAGGAUUUCGGUAAUUAUGAAGGGUAGGUCUCUGCAGAGGAAUUAUUUUACUUGAUCCUUUUGUAAAAACAGCAAGCUGUUAGUAUGGUAUGCUUUCAUCUCAAAUUGAGAUAAAAUAUUUAGUUCCUUGCAAAACAACUGUCCUUAAGGCAUUGCAUAAAUGGGAUAAUUUAAGAACGUUUUAACUAUGAUUUCAUUAUGAAUUAUUGUUAUACCAGUGAAAUGGCAAGAGUAUGCAAUUAUAAAACAAACUUAAUUUCAAGAUGUCAUUUUAAUUAAUUACUUUAACAUGUUCAAAACAAAGAUACUGUGUUGGGGCUUUUUUUUCUUUUAAGACAUGUUUAGAUGGUUUUACGCAAGUUUUGUAUGAGAUUGAAACAAGAAGACCUGAGUCUUCCACCCACCGUGGUUGAGGUUACUCGCUUACAUGGUUGCAUGGUUGAAGUUGCUGGUGCUCUUACUGCUUGUAGAGCCUUACUCAGGUGACUAGCUUGAAUAAGAAGAGCAAUAGCAUAAAAAUAAUUUUUACAGGACUUUGACCAUAAGGAGGUUUGUCAUGCAGUUGGUACUUUGGUGGGAAUAUCUGAGAUAAACCCAGCUCAUUAAAAGCCAGCUUAGGUCUCUACAGUAAUCACACUUGGCACAAAGUUUCUUUUUCUUCUUUUGGCUGAUUACAGUGAGAAAAACUAUUUGGUUUUAAUUCAGUGCAAUUUCUUGUGUUCUUCUUUCUCUUCUAUUAUCUGUAACAGUUACAAUGGAAGGGAUUCUAGGUCAUCGAAUAGAGUUUGUUGUUAUGGCAGUCAAGCAUAUAGAAUUAUUUUUUUUAGGUUUAUCAUACUUUCCAUACUUGUUACCCUCAUCUUGUUUGAAGCAUGCCUGUUUGAACUCAAACUACCAAUGAAAAAUUGAAACAUUUCUUAAUACAGUAGUUGACAUAAAUUCACAAAGUCUUUCACUUGAAGUAGUUUUGAAAGGAUUAUUUUUUGUUUGAGUUCUUGCUCUUUUACCAGUGUGCUGUUCCCUUAAUCUUUCCCAGCACUGUUCCCACAUGGUAUUGGGUAGAUCCCAUUUUUCUCAUUCAUUUUAUGUUCUACUCGUAGUUCUUGGAAAUCUUCUUUCCUUCCUAACAGCAGAAUGAGAAUUGCUCUGUUCUGAAAUACUGAUUGUAAAAAUUCCUCUUGCACUUGAACUCAGUAGGUGUUGAGCAUUAUAACUUAAAGGCAAAAACUGUGGCAUAUGCUUGAUUCAAAAUAAUGAAAUACUUCAUGUUGAUUUGUAGCUUUUCCAGCUUGCAUUUAAUUCUGUGAGAAUCAUUUUACUGUGCUGGGGACUCAGACUAAAUCCUUCUGCUCAUUCAAGAAAGUUGCAAAGUUAUAAUUUAGUCCAACUGAUAUUAUUACCUGUGUACCUUAAAGUGGAGCCUAUUAUGUAGCUUCACAUAGCUUAGUACUGAAAGCUGGUUUGCAUUCUGCAGCUGAGUUCUCUAGAUCCUGUCACCACAUUAAACAGAGCAAAUUGUGUGGAGGCAAUUUGAUUUUUCUUUUCUUUCUUUGCUCACAAAUGUCUAACCACACAGCUAUACAGUCUCUGGAGAGUUUAGCACCCAUAAGUGACUAGUGGAAUAAGAGUUUUAUAGUUUUAUAUUCUGGUUUUAUAGUACUGACUAUCUGCAAAUGGUCUAAGAAGACAGUAGGUCUAAAAAUGAAAAUUUAAGGCCAAUGAAGUUUUUUUGUAAUUUCAAUCUUCUGCACUAAAAAAGUAUUCUUCAUUUGCAGAGCUUUUGCAUAUGGUGAGAAUUACAGCCUGAUAUAUCUGCAGUUGGUUGCACAACAGAGCUGACUAUUCUCUGUAGUCCGGUCUGGUAACUGGUACAACAUUUAUUGAAAGUUAUCUGCCUGCUGCUGUGAGUUCUGAUUGUAUCACUCAGGUCUUUUUUUUUUCUGAACCCAUCUUCUCUUUUCUUUUUUAAAAACUUAUUUAAAAAAAAAAAAAUAAAUGGAUGGAAGGGGUCAGGAAUGUCCUUUAACUUUGUAAUUUGCGUGGGAGAAAGAAAUACAGAUGAGAUAAGUAUAAGAACAGUUGGCAUCAUAAGAAUUUUGAAGAUGUGAGGUACCUGUUGCUUCUUAGCCUCCGUAAAUUAGGAAUAAAUAUUUUUUGACAGCACUAAGUCUUGUGGUGGUGUCAAGAUAUAUUGGUGCCAGUAAUGAGUUUCCUUUUUUAUCGGAAUCCAGUUGUUGCAUGUAGACCAACCGUCUUUGGCUGUGUAACUUGUUCUCAAGUUUUAUUAUUUUUAUUUUGAUUUCUCAUUCCCUUAUUCAUCUUCCCAUGAUUUGAACUGUUCUGUAAUUGGAAUUCAUAGGAUUAGGCACUAAUAUUUAUAACAGAGAUCAGGUUAAAAUCCCAUUUUGAAAUAGGAUGAAGUAUUCAUGUCUAAUGAUCUAUGUGAUAGCAGCUGCAGAAGAAUGGCUGUUUAAACUGUUCUCUCCCAUUAAAAAAUGUUCAAAUACUUGCACAAAGCUUUAAAAGCCAUUGCUUGUGAAGGUCAUAGCAUGUUACUUCUGUAAGCUGAUUGGAAACAAACCACUUAGAACCAUACAAUUCACGACUGCUUAUCUUUUGGUGAACUCAGCUUGGAGUAUCAAAAAACGAAGGCAUACCAAACUGCUAUAUGUACUAAGUUUUCUAUGUUUGCUUAUGCCAUAGCUAUUUUCUAAGGAUUGACACAUAUGAAAAAUGUUUGUGCCUGUUGAGUUCACUACCAAAUUCAAGUUUUGAGUACAAACAACAAAGAUAUGCCUUUAAAAACGGCAAAACACUGAUUUCUAAGUAAAACCUUCUCUGCAUCUCCUUUAAGCUGUGAACUUAAUGUGCUUUCUGUUGAGGUCAGUGGCAGUGGCCUUGAAGAGAGUAUGUUCAGCAGCUUCAAAAGGGGCAUGAUUUCAUAUAAUACGUUACUUAUAAUUUUAGUUACAUAGUUGCAACCUGCCUUAAAUUAAUGAUGUUGUACCAGCUACAUUCUAAUCCACUAUGUUUCAUUUAUUAUUUUUACACCAAUAUCAAUAUUUAACAAAACACUCUUUUGCAACAAAACAGUUCCAAGCCUGAAAUUAGGUACUUGAGUAAGAAUGACUUAUUCUAAAGUUGGAAUUUAGAGUUUCUUGGAGGCUAUGAAAAUAAGGAAUUCAGUCUCUCUGACAUAAAAAUAUUGUGUGAAUUAUCCCCAGCAAUUGAACUCAUCUUUCACACAUUCACAGUGUGCAGAAUGCAAUCCAAGAAAAGGCAGUAGAAAUGCUUAUAUUUCUAUUGCACGUUCUUUUAUAUGGAUUAGUAUCUCAAGGAAAGUUACAAAAAGCACUUCAGUUUCAAUGAAAUCAAUGACAAAAUCAAAUAACGGAGGUACAAUUCCAUGGAAGGAAUAUAAAAGCUGCCUUAAAUUAAACACAGAUGUCUGUUCCAAUGGUCUGGGCACAGGCAGCAACUCAGGAGUCAGAUUUACAACAUACUUCCUCUUCGCCAAAAUUACUCCCAUCUGGAGUGAUUCACCUUUUACUAGAGUAAAACCUGCAUUUAUUUAAGGCAUGAACGGUUACAUUUCAGUCUGAUGCCAAAGGUGAAGUUCUUCUGACAGACUGCAUCGGUGAAGUUUAUCUACUAGAAUGUUUAAUACACUACUAAUAAUCUUUUUGCGGCUGUGGCAAACUUUUAAAAACCAUCUUUUAUUCCUUUACUAAAAUAAAGAUUGAAAGGCAAUCAGCAUACAGAUCACUCUACCUGAGAGGUUCAGUCACUCAACUCUUCUUUUUUCGAGCGCUGUCAAAUGCCCUUGAUGGUUUCCAGGAGGGGAGCUGGAUUACAACUGAACAUGGAUAGACCUGGUCUCAGAUUUACGUCUCUGUAUAAUGAUGACCCUUGCAGAAAUAGCUUCAGACGAGUAAUAGGAUUAUCAUAAGGGAAUUAAAAAAUUCUGUUCAUUAGUUUGAGCCAAUGAAGUUGCAGGCUAGAUAGAGAUUUAAAGGAUUUAGUGCGUAGAUAUAAUUGAGAAGGGAGAAAAACAACUGGGCCUAAGCAGAGAUACAAAUGGGCACCUUGGAAUUACAGAGUAAGGUGUAUUAAAAUUAUCAAGAUAUAUAAAUGAAUUGUAAAACACAGUGUGAGAACCAUUUCUGUAUAUAGGAAAGCUGCUAUUCUAUAUCUCUAUUUGCCUUUUAAACAUUUGAGUUGUGAUAGGACUCCUGUUUAUAAAAAGGAUUGUGCCAAUAUUGAAAUUACACCUAUCUUCUUGUGAAUGUAAAAAAAACAUACUUUCAGAAUGUAAAAGGAAGGAAGCAGAAUUUUACUCUGUGAAGAAUUAUGAAUAUAAUGUCUAUGUGACAGUAAGAAACAGUUAAAUUUGCAGCAGUUUUCAAUGGAAAACUUGUAAUUAAACCUCUGCUACAGUGGCUCACAUGCAUUUGGAUGCCCUGCAGCCAGAAAAGUCCAGCAGUCACCCACCACGUUGCUCAGACAAGUUUAAGGAGCAUUGUCCUGUGGAAAUAAAGACAAGUGAUGGCCCCAGCAGUGCCAAGAUGUGUAUGUUGUGGUACCUUAACUGAGUCCUUCUUCUUCCCUUCAACUCAUGUCUUGUUUUCUCUGUGCAGUAGAGCAGAAUUGUAGCACCCAGACAACUUAGCAGGUGAUUGCCUACCAAGCUCUGCUCAGUCAGUGGUAAGUAUAUUCAUAUGUUACUCUAUUUGAAAUCUUACUGUAAUAAUUCCUUUUAAGUUCAAAGAAACCCUGUGAACUACUUUUGAAAGAAUGAGGAUUAGAGCACCAUGCACAAGUGUUACUGUGCUCUGCAGUCCUUGCCUUUGAGCUGUCUCUCCACAUAAAGCACGUUAUCUGUGGCUGCUAACUUUGUGCUCUGUGCAGCUUUAGGGUUACAAGGCAGGCCAGAAUCACAGUCCUCAAGCCCAGAAAUUCUGAUUCAGGGAUGAGUCCUCCUUGCAGUGAAGGAGGACCAAAGUAGGGAACAAGAACUGAAUAUAAGCCCAUGAGACCUGAUAGCAUGCACCCUCAAAUGCUGCAGAAGCUGGCGAUGUCACUGCAAGGCCACUGUCACUGUCACUAGUGAGGCAUGUGUGGGUGCUGUGUCCAGAUUCCCCAUUACAGGAGGGAUGCAGGCUUGUUGGAGUGAAGCCAGUAAAUGGACAGAAAGGAACUGUAGCAUCAGUUGUGUGAGAAGAGGAGGGGGUGUGUGGGCUCAGCCUGCAGAAGAGAAGGCUCAGAGGGACUUUAUCAGUGUUACAAAUACGUGAUGAAAGGGUGGAAAGGUGGAGCCAGACCUAUCCACGGUGUCCAGUGAAAGGAAAAGAGGUAAUGGGUGGUAGCUGAAACGCAGGAAAUUGCCUUUGAAUGUGUAUAUGCAUAUAUGCAUUCAUAUUUACAUAUAUAUGGGGGGUGGUUGAACGGGGAUAGGUUGCCUGGUGAGAAUAUGGAGCCCUCACCCCUGAAGAUAUUCAAAUCCCAGCAGGGACCCUGGCAUCUGCUUGAGAGGAGGCUGGGCUGGCUGAUCUGCAGACUCCAGCCUCAGCUGCUCUGUUGUUAGUUAAUGAAGUAGAAACAGUAUAACUGUAUAAGGAACAGGAGCAAACUUGAAAAACAGUGUUGCUGUUUUCUUAGUAAUCAGACUAUAGAGAAGGAUAACAAAAAUUAGUUUUCACUGUGUCAAUAGACUCUGAUUAGUUCAUCCUUAAAAAUAACAAAAGAAAUGUGUUGGGGAUCUGCAAAAAUUUUCCACCUAGAUUUCUGCAUGAAAAGACGAAGCAAAGCAUAACUGUAGAUUUUCCUUACAUCUUCAAAUUUAAACGCAGGAAGUUGAGAUCAUGGCUGUAUUUUGGGCAUUUAGGGUGCCUAGAUGCUCUGUGGCCUGGAGAAAGACCUAGAAGCCCAGAGGACUAAAGGAAUAGAAUCUGACCUUGAGGUAUAGAAACUUAAGGGCCAAGAGACCAAGAGGGAGGCCAGGUGGCUGGAUAAGAGACCUUGGGGCUUUAACGGCCAAAGGGAGGCCUACAGGUGUAGAAACUUGGAGACCAAGAGGCCCAAAAAAUCUGUAUUACUUUUCAGCACAUUUGCCUUAUUUAUCUUAGCAGACUCAAAGCUCACACAUUCACAUUUGUACACAUUUGUUCUUUCUCUCUUCAUUUAUUUUUCUUUCUUGCUUGAUUAGGUUUCUAUUUGCUAAAAGCCCCAGGCUGUUUCCUUACCGGAUACACUUUAGCUUUCAGAGAUUUCAAGUACUUCAAUUUUUCACUUCCUUGCAUGAUAUUUAAAUGUCUUUUUAUGAGAUAGUUGUUAAUUUUUAAUGGAAGAUCCCAUUAAAUUGGAAAGUUCACUAGCAGUGUUCCAAAGGGCAAAAGCAAGAUGAUAAAGAGUAGUUCACACUUGUAUAUAAUAUUACUGUUUUCAGCCAGUAGCAGGUAGGCAGAAUUCAUUUUAAUGAAGAAGUAGUUGGUGGGGCUUUUCCAAGGCGCAAAUGGAGGAGGACUUAUUUAUGGGAAAGAGGGCAAGCAGGGGAUUUCUAACUGUAAAUUCAUCAACUUCCAGGUCUUCUCUUUCAAUACAGAGUUGCAUUAUGUUUGAGUAUUACCUAAUUUGAGUAUGAUAAUCAGUGUAAUUAUUUUUAAAUCUUUGAACAUGUGCUUUUAUCAAUUUCAUCUGUUUUUUUACAACAUGAAACUGUUAGCAUUCAUUUCUGUCUGUGAGACAGCAUUAUUUUAGGAAAAAGCCUGGAUAUGACAACCUCAGCCAUAACUCCAUCACCUCCUUUAGAUUUUCCUUUCUACAAAUCACAAAUAUGUAUGUUCCUGGUGUGCCAUAUGGAGAGAGCCUUUUAAAUUAGCAUGGACAAAAAGCAUAAGGAAGUCUAGAAAGGCCAUUUUGAAGUGAUUUAAUCUACAACUGAUAAUUUUCUUAACAUUUUUUUUCAAGUUUUCUUUUUAUUUUUAUUUUUUGAUGAGAUAUCACUUCUACAGCAUUAGGCUAGAAGGUGCUCUUAAGGUUUUUAAUGUAAAACUGUGUUUUGUCUGCUAGCAACAAGUACAGCAUGUGCCAUGAUUUCACAAAGAAACCUAUUAAAUUGAUUACUAGCGUUAUUUUGUGAUAGUUUUGUACUUAAUUAUGAGUACUUGCAGGAAGAUUUACAAAAUUAUUCUUGUUUAUCAUGUCUAUCAUUCAAUAGACCUUUGUUGCAAAAGGGUGGAUUAAGUCUUGGCAUGGAAACCAAUACUAAACCAAUUAGGAAAACUCUGCUUAUUUGCAUCCUUGUCAUUAACUUGAUGAAAAUUAAAAUGAGGAGCAGGAAGAAGAGCAGUGAGUUUCUUGUGUCUGGUUCAUCACAAAGCUGCAAUGUUAUCCUUUUGCAGCUCCAAGCAUAGCAAGCCUGAAAAUUUUAUCCUGCAUUCAGGUUCUUCACAAAAACUUUCAGAACGGCCCUCUGCAACAGAGCAAGGCAUGUUUUCUGGGGAUAGCUCUCAAAUCACUGGAGUGAGACUUCCAUCUUCUUACUGGCCAGCUAUCAGUUCAUAUUUUUGCAUUUGUGUUCUAUUUUGCAUGUUGGUCACCCAGUGCAGUCCCUCUGUCAGGCAGAGCCACAUACGCACAGGUAACACCCUAUUUGGAGAGCGAUAAGGAGCAGGCCGUCCUCAUCUCAGGCGGCCAUCCUGCAGCACUCCUCUUUCCUGGUUCCUCAAGGUGUGUCUUCCUUGUUGCCCUACAGCAAGGGCUGCAUCACCAUUGUGUCCCUGCCAUCUCAGAUGUUGAUGCGCAGCAGAGAAAUUUUUUGGGUCCCAUCCAUGCUCGGUGCCACCCACAGUGUGUGAGGCUGGGUCUCCUGAUCUAUUGAAGUCUCUUCCAACCUGAGCUGGUCUGGGCUGAGGUUUGAAGUGGUUUGAACACGAAGGCAACAAUCUACUUUGCACCAUUACAUGUGCAAUACUGACCCAUAGAGGUCAGUGUUUGCCUUUGAAAAGGAAGAGGAUCGUGUGUCUGAAGCACAUGUCACCUAACAUGCAGUUUGCCUUCCUAUCUGCUUCUACUGAUUGAUCAGGAUUAAUAACGUACCACUGUCUUUCUAAGCUUGGAAGGUAUGGCUGAGAAAGCAAAUGUUAAUACAUUUUAAGUUUUGCUAUCUAACAUUUUAAAGGCUGAAAUAUGGUAUUUAAAAAAUAUCACAAAAUAUUUGCAGAUCUAUCUUAAAAUAGGGAGAACCUAUCAUAUCUGUAGUUACAGUGUUAAAUUUAUUUCAUGCAGUCAUCUGAGUGGACAUGAGGAAUGUUGGCAGCAACAUGCUUGUAGGGUGAAACUUUCCCACUUCAUCAUGAGACCCGCGUACCGUGGUUUGUCUGUGAUAUUACAUGAAAGUAAUUACAUAUGAACCACUUGCCUUUGAUUAUGGAGGAUACUUUCAGAAAUGAAGCCUGCAGAGUAAUUAUGACUCAAGAAAGAAUAAAAGUCACUCUGAAAAGAAUGAACAAACGUAUUUUGUAUCUUUUGAAAGCAUUUUGAAAGUAUUUUGUAAGGACUGUCUUCUCAAAUGUUAUUAAAAUGAACCCUAGUCAGUGUUACCUAAGCAUGUUAAAAAUGAUUAGUUUUGGUUUGUUUCUAUAUGGUUUUGCAUGGUAAAUGAGGUAAGAAUGGCAUUGGUUGCCCCAUGUUUACUUAUUUUUUCAAGUGUGUCAAACUGCCCCCAGGCUGUGCACAUUGCAGUUUGUAAUCAUGUGAAAUGCGUUUGCUGACUGGAUAAAAAUCUUACCAAACCAUAAACGGAAACUUUGUUAACCAAAAUAAGCAUUCCUUUGCCUAUCAGGUGUGACAGCUGGAAAUCAUUUUGAGCUGUAUGGUUGGCUGAAAAACUGAGUUCCAGCGUCUCGAGCAAAGAAACCACUGCUGUUAUUCACCAUAUUCUCUAAUUGGCUCAAUUGCUUGUUGAAGAAUAACUAUUUUUCUACAAAAUCAAAACAAUUACCAGAAUUGGAUAAUAUUUAGUAUUCAUUUUAUUGUGAAGUUUAUAUGAAUGCUGCUUAUUAAUAAAAAGUUUGCAGAGAUAUGGCGCAGUCAUUGCUUUUGAAAAUGUAUUAAUGGGAAUCUUCAGCUGAAGUGCUUAUGCCCCUUCUCUGGUAUUCUUUCUUCCUCUAUGAAUAGUGCUUUUACCUACAUGUUUCUACAUGUUUUGAGUGUGAAGUGAGAGGCUCUGAUAUGUUGAAAUACUCUGCUUGCAUCUGUGUGUAUCCUAGCUGUCUGUUUGUUUUAAAUUAAGUGUUUAAGAUGAUAGUGCACAAUUUUCUGAAUUUACAUCUUAGAAAAAGAAAUUACUGUGCUUUAGAUCUUCCUUCAGACCUGUAACCAGAAGGGAGCACUCUUACUUAAGGCACAGAAAUGUUCUCCUCUGACAUUAGUUUCUGCUGUUUGCCCACAACAAUUAGUAAAGAGUGAGUGUGGAAUUUUUCAGCAGUGCACCGACAAUCUCUGUAUAGAUUUGUUGCCAGGUAUUGGGAGAUCUAUUUCUCAUAGUCACUAUAGUUGUAGCCAUUGCUUGCUGAAAUUGAAUGAAUGGCAAUUUUGAUUGAGAUGGAGUUCUGCUACUGAAUUCAUGUAGGGAACUGGCAUGUAUAGAUUUCCAAUGCAGUGAUGUAUGUCUUUUAUUGCAUUUAUUUUUUAUUACUUUUUCCUUUUUACAUGAGUUGUGUGGUAUCACUAAUUUGGGAGUGCCACUGUUUUCCAUCAACCAGGUGAGAAGGAUUCUAAAAAGACAGGGAUCUCCUACAGAGAGUCCAGCAGGGUGCCACAAAGACAAGUUAGGGAUGUGGAGAAUCUCCUAUACGAGGAAAGACUCAGAGACCUGGGACUCUUCAGCCUGGAGAAGAGGAGUCUGAGAGAAAUCUCAUCACUAUGUAUAAAUAUCUAAAGGGUGGGAGUCAAGUGGUUGGGGCCAGGCUCUUUUCAGUGUUGUGCAGAGACAGAAUGAGAGGCAAUGGACAGAAACUGGAACACAGGAAGUUUCAUAUUAACAUGAGGAGGAGUUGCUCCACUGACAGAGUGGCAGAGCAAUGGAACAGGCUGCCCAGAGAGGUUGUGGAGUCUCCUUCUCUGGAGAUAUUCAAGACCUGCCUGGGCACUGUCCUUUGCAACCCGCUGUAGGGAACCUGCUUUAGCAGGGGGAUGGAACUUGAUCUCCAGAGGUCCCUUCCAACCCCUACAAUUCUGUGAUUCCGCGAUUAUAGAGAUCUGUUGUGAACACUUGUAACAGAUUUAAAAUAUUUUGAUGGAGCAGGUUAGUCCAAAACCAAAUUGAGAAAGCUGACCUGCAAGUCACUCUGCUGCUCAGUAGCUCUCAGCAGCCAUGUGCAGGCAACUUGCGAGGGCUUGUGUUCCUUCCCAAGGAUUAAUCAAUGCUCCAUGCACAGUUUAGCCAAGAUUUUAAAAGCAAAUAGGAACUGUGUGUUGUCUCAAGAGAGUGCAGGCAAUGCAGGUAACCUCCUGCAGCUAUUGAUUUAAUGGGUAGACAAUAGUAAAGAUGACUGCUAGCUGCAGGUAGUACAUGGGUGCUUGAAUACAGGAUGUUAUAUGCGAGUUACUCCAAAAGCAAUGCCUCCCAUGCAAUAAUGUUGCCCCACAAUGUCAUGGAAGUGCAUAUGAAGCACUGGAACUGAGUUCCUCCAUGCAGAAAAAAUGGCAUUCAUUUACAUUCAUUGACACCUGUGAACAUUUAUGGAGACCAAACAGUGGCUGUGAGCACAGUGUGAGGUGGAUGGUAAGUUUCAGCAGCAGUGACAGCAACAGUGGAUCGCUUCUGCUGGUGCAGAUCUUUAUGAGUAUGACAUAGUGGUUCAUGUCCACUGCUGCAGAAAAUGUACGGAAGUGACUAUGCUGAAAAAGUGUGUUUUGCAGCUGAGAAUUUGCUCUAUAAAAUAAUGUUAUUGUUCUCUUUGAAUCUGUCGCAGUUUCCAUGGAAAUAAAUUGGAGGCAUUACUUUCAGAGCAACCCAGUUCUUGGUCUAAAGAGGCUGCACUGAAACAUUGCUGUCCUACUGCUGUAUACCUGGCUCACCCUGAGUUGGCCGAUGUCUCCAAGAAUGAGAGUGCUUGGGUCUUGCAUUAGCACUGGAACGGCUGCGUGGUCCAUCCUCCUCUGAGCAGUGCCCCUGAGACUCCAUAGGAGGUAUUUCAGACCUCUCUUUUGUUUGCCUGUCUUAAAGAAAAUCCAAACAAACCAUUUCUAGCAGUGAGGGGAGUGCACUGCUGCUCAUUUCCCUAAGCUCUGUCUCAGAUUUUUCUCUAAUGGUAGUUACUCUUCGAAAGUUUAUUUGAAGUUUGAAAGUCAUGGGUAGCAGGGAAGCCUGGUUCAGAUCCUUUCUGAUCAACUAAUUGCAUAUCUUGUCUUUUUGCAGUGUAUCGAGGGCAUCUUAUUGGUAGAUCUGUGGGAAUACACCACAGGAAUGUCCUACUGCUCAUGCUUGUUCUCUGCAUGCAAGGCUCAGGUGGAGGUUUGUAUGUAAGGGUUGCAGUUGGAAUGCGGAGAAAGUAAAUUAUUUUAAACCUAAGAGGAAAAGGGUUGCGGGAGGAUUAGGAAUGUCUGGGACAGACAUACGAAAGGGGUGGGCAGUUAUUCAUAGGUCCUAAUAUAAUAAUGCACGUCAAUAUGUGAUUCAGAUGUAAGUCUGAUGAAUUUAUAGCAAAAUGAGGAAAUAAACUGGCAAUGCAAACAGGUAUUUAAUCAGCAUAUAAUCUCAGAAACAUGUUUGGAAGGAACACUUCAUUGGUCAUUAGGUCUGUUUCCCUGCGUCAUAUGGAAGAGUUCAGUUAUUCUAAGCCACUCCUCCUUGGAUGGGUGUCAGACAGUUGCUAUGUCCAAUGCUAUGUCCAUUUCUGGACUGUUUGCUGCAUUUUCCUUGUCAUAGAAACAAAAGCAUUGAAAUGUAAUGUAAUGUUGUUAUACUCUGCAAAAUGACCACAAUUCAGGUUCCAUGUUUACUGCUUCCCCUGCUUACAGUAAUUUCUUACUGCUACUACUGCUUACAGUAACUUCUGCCUAAGUAUUGUAAGUGGAUAAUUAAUCUUGUAAUUUUGUUUUCUGAACAGGAGUCCUGGAAAAUGUCCUCUGGCAGUUGAAAUUUUGGCUAGUUUGUGCUUUUUCUGUUUUAGCAUUUUACUAAAGCUUCAAUAUAUGUGUAUUUUAUAUUGUCUCAUAUGAUUAUGUGCAUAUAUAUAUUCCUGUUCCACACCCAUUUAGACAUGGCAGAUGGUGAGUUCUAGAAAUGAUUCUGUUUCCUUGGAAGAACUGAGUAAUUACAUUAGAAGUUUAAUGAGUUGAAAUUACUUUUCUAGUUAACAUUUGCCCUUUAAGUGUAGAGAAUUCUUUGAACAAUUUGGGCCUUAUUUGUGUGUGUUCCUAGAUGAAAUUUUGCAAAGGAACUUGGGGUUUUAUGUCUUUGUGCACAUUUUCCGUGGGGUAUUUUGAGAUUUAAAUUUCAGUGCUUGUUACUGAAUAAACAAAUCUGAUUCCUGUUUCAUUGCAAGACUGUAACUUCCUGCCGGGAAGGCCCAGGGCAGGCUUAUGGCAGCAAACUUCUGGCAACCAAGAAUGUAGCCCAGCAUUGUGAUGUUCAGGUACCUCUCUUUCUGUGGAAAGAAAUGGAAGAAAAACACACACAGAGCAUUUCAGUAAUCUGCCAUGAGCAACACUCUCAAUCACCGUUUUCAAACUAUUCACUUUCCUUAGUUUAAACAACCAUCUCUGUCUUUUCGAUGUUGUUUUAUAUUUGUUUAUAUUUGUGCUAGCUUUUUUUUCCCAUUUGCUUAGGUUGCUUAUGGAUUAUGAAAUUAGUACAGGUUGAAUGAAUGUAAAGAAAGACUGUGGACAUGAAUUUUGCUUUCCAAAUGAUGUUUUUUCAUUAUCCUCUCAAGAUAAUACAGGUCCAUUCUUGUACCAGCCAAGGGAACUCUUGUCAUCUAGUAAGUCUUGGUCUAAUUGUGGACCUAGAGAUGGAGGAGCAGCCUGGGCUACCAGCCUUUGCAUCUCUGGCCUUUUUUGAGGACUUGCUAUCAUGGCAGCUCUUGAGUUCUGGAUCUGGUCUCCCUGCCUGCCUGGGUUUAGCACCUUAUCAGCCCUCAACUACAAGUCUAGGCAGCUGAACCUAGUCAUUUACAAUUUCUGCUAGUAUUGUUGCCAUAGAAUUGUUUUCAUGUUCUAGUCGCUGUGUUGUGGCUCUGCUCUUUUUCUGGGUGAAAAUUUCUUUCUUACUUUCUAAGGAUAAUUAUGUAUUUAUUCAUAGCAUCCAAUAUAGGGCAAAUUUGAAUUAGGAGAUGAACAUUUUGAGAAUUUAUUCUUGAAAUAGUGGAACACAAGAUUGUUUCAAUUAGGAUGAGCAACUGACACACCAGUCAGAUGUGUUGGAUGCUAUCUUGUUUAAAUAUGUUGAUUUUAAUCUUAAAUAAUAAUAAUAAAAAAUAUUUUUUUAAAAAAAAAAAGGUCAGAUUCAUAACUAGUUUUUCCUUUGGGAAUCAAAAUUCUUGGUACAAAGUAUAGUGAUUUGAUCAAAAUUUUGGUGUUAGCUCUUGAUCUAAGUAGUUUCAACAUGUUCUUUGGCUUUGCUCCUUUACAGUAAAAAUAAUGGGCUAAUUGCCUUACCUGACUGACAGGUAUGUCAGAUUUGCAAAGUUAAAAGAUACAAAGUGGCUAUAAAUAGUCCCCCAGCCUUUUCUUGUUUCUUUGGGUAUUUGCUGCCUCAUUUAACCUUUUGAAGAAUUCCUUUGUUACAACUACCAAUCAGCGACCGAGGAGGAUUCUUGUCUAGUCUGACAUGGUAUUAAUGGCAUUUAGCCCAACGGUAUUAUAAUCUGGCGGAUUCCAAAUUCUAAGGGAAAGAGAGCUUUCCCUUGUCCUGGAGCUUUCACCUUCUCUAUUAUUUUAACUAAUACAUUUCUUGUUGGCUCUGAUUCUUGCUUACUUCAAGUGAUGUUAACAUGUCUGUGCUGACAGCUCUUCUCUUUUUUUCCAGAAACCUCUCAAGGCUUUGUUUGUAUCAAUUAUAUUCCAGUACUGUAGCCUAGUCAAGAUUAUGUCUUGCAAUAUUGCAUGAACCUGAAGGCCAGCCACUUCAAGGGCUACCUGAUCAGGAAGAGGAAAUUGAUGAGGUCUUCCACAGAUAGCUGAAAGUAGCAUCACAACUGUGGGCACUGGUUCUCAUGGAGAACUUCAACCACCCUGGUAUUUGCUGGAAAAGCACCACCGCCAAGCACACAGAGUCCAGAAGAUUCCUGCAGUGCAUGCAAGAUUACUAUCUCAUGCAUUUGGUGCAGGUGACAAUAAGGAGAGAUGUACUUCUGGAACUUGUUCUUACAAAAAAGGAAGAAUUGGUUGGAAAUGUGAAGUCUGUAGGCAGCCUUAAUGCAAUGACUCUGAGAUAGAGAAGCUCAAGAUCUUACAUGGAAGAAACAGGGCAACGUGUAAGAGCACUGGAAAGUAUGUGGGCCCAAACAAGUUGGUUGACAUUCUAAGCUCAAGAGUGGUGGAUCCCUAAGAGUAAGAAAUCAGGCAAAGGUGGCAGGAGACCUCCGUUGAUGAGCAAGGAGCUCAUGGAAAAACUCAAAUGAAGGAACAAAUCUAUGGAAUGUGGAUAAAGGGUCUGACCAUUUCAGAGAAAUAUGGGACUGUUGUCUUCUUUAAGUAUAUCAAUAGUAAAAGGAAGACUAUUGAAAAUGCGAGUCCACUACUAAAUGAGGUAAGUUUCCUGGUAACAGAAGACACUGAGAAGGCAGAGUUACUGAAUGCCUUCUUUGCUUCAGUCUUUACUGCUAAGACUGCCCCUCAGGAACCCCAGACCUGGAGAUUCUCAGGAGAGAGUCUGGGGAAAGGAAGACUUCCAUUUGAUGAGGAGGAUCUGAUCAGAGAUUAUCUAGACAAAUUCAACACACAGAAAUCCAUGGAUACUGAUGGGAUGCACCCAUGAGUACUGAGGGAGCUGAUAGAAGUGAUUGCCAAGUUGCUCUCUAUCGUCUUCAAAACGGGAGAGGUGUCUGAAGACUGAAGGGUAGACAGUGUACUCCAGCCUUCAAGAUGAACGAGAAGGAGAAGGCAGAAAACUACAGGAAAAUCAGCCUCACCUCUGUUCGUGGAUAGGUGAUGGAACAACUUGUUCUGGAUGUCAUCUCCAAGCAAUUGGAAGAGAAGGAGAUUAUCAGGAGUAGUCAGCAUGGAUUCAUCAAGGGGAAGUCUUGCUAGACCAUUCUGGUAGCCUUUUAUGAUGCCGUGUCUGGCUGGAUAGGUGAGUGGAGAGCAGAGCACCUUGAUUUUUGCAAGGCUUUUGACACUGUGUACUGAGACUGUUUAGGAGGAGAAGACUGAGAGGUGAUUUAGUCAAUGCGUAUAAAUAUCUAAAGGGUGGGAGUUGUGGAUUCUCCUUCUCUGGAGAUAUUCAAGAUGUGCCUGGACACUUUUCUGUGCAACCUACUGUAGGGACCCUGCUUCAGCAGGAGAGUUGGACUAGAUGAUCUCCAGAGGUUCUUUCCAGCCUCUAUGAUUCUGUGAUUUGAGUUGUCCUGUGGGGAGCCAGGGGUUGGACUUGGCAAUUCCCUUCCAGCUCAGAAUAUUCUAUGAUUCUGUUGCACAUCCGACAUGAACAAGCCACAUUUCAGUUACUUUUAUAGUUCUGAUCAGAGAACUUAAGAAAAGCAUAUCAGCCAAAGAAAACGUAUUAGCAUCACUCGGCUCAAGUGCGUUGAAUGAGUGCCUUGAAAUGAUUUGCUGGAGAAAUGACACCAAAAGAAAAAUAUAUAAACUUCUCAUUUAUCUGAAACACCUGAUGCAGUAAUAUUUUUUCUCAAGAAAAAAAUUGGUAAAAUUGUAUCACAGAGAUGCAAUUCCAACAAAUAAAGGGACUUCUAAAUAGCAAGUGAGGCAUAGCUAAUAAGGAAAUACUGCAGUGGUGAUGCAAGGGGUACAAAAGAAGAUGAAGGAGAAAUGAAGUCUUAAGGUGAAAUGAAUAUAUAUUGUUCUUUCCAAAUGCAAUAAAGAAUCACAGUUUUAUAAGCAAUUGAAAGUGGACUAAAUGCUUUAAAAAGACCUCAACUUCCUUCUCCGUUCUUUUUCCAUCUUGUCAACAGAUAGAGAUGCUGCAAGGGAACACACACUGCUUGUAGUAAACUCCAGCAGCCCCAGGGUCAGAGAUAACUAGUUUGAAUUGUAGCAGGAUGCUGUGAGAUAUGUUGUGAUUGAAUAGGCACAUCUGGAGCCAACGUGGGGAUUGCAAGGAUGGCUUAAAGCUUCUUUGGAGUUAUCCCUCUCCAAGUUAAAUGUAUCCCACAGCUGUUCAUGAAGAUUGCCAUUAUUAUCCUUUCCUGUAUUUUUUCCAUGUUUAGAAUUUUAUAAAGUGAAAUAAUUUGGACAGGAUUUUUGGACAGAGGCUUUCUCUCAUUUUCUGUGACCUUCCUUAGCCUCAUCAGUGUGAUUUGAGAAUCUUUCCCCAAAUGGCUAAAUAAAGCUCUGUCUGAUAAUGGAAAAACUCAUUUCCAUGUUCCAGUAGUUUAAGUCUGAACUUGAAGUCCAGCCCUGUAUUUUGGCUUCUCUCUGCUGCAGCAAGAAAACAUUUAUAUGAAGGCAGUGGAAUUGGCUGUCUCCUGUUUCAAGGUAUUUGCUGUACACAGUUGCAUAUUUCAAUAGGUUGUUCCAAUAUAAAUAUUUUAAAAAGGAUAGGAAACCCCAAACUAAGUGGACAGCAAUUUCCAGAGCUGCUUCACAGAAUGCCUGUGGCAGGAAAGCUCUUGAGUGUGAAGGAGUAGUGUACAGCAUGUUAUCAAAAGAUAGAAGAUAAUUGCUAGGCAAAACUGCAAAACACUCCGGCACUCACGUCUCCUGUGCUGAUAUCCAGACUGAAGAAAAACAGGCUUGGUGUCAGGCUGUGGGGGGCUUGCUGCAGGAGGGUGGGAGGGAGCAUACUAAACCACAGUUCUUCCUCUCUGCUCCUCAAAAUGUCAAAUGUAACUAUUUCUCUUUGCUGUUCUGCACCACAUGCAUGAUAUUAUUCGAGAAUGUAAGCAGCCAGAGCACAUCAGCACCCAGUCACGUCUGCGUGGCCUGUCUGCCCUGCGGCGAUGCAUCAUGCUGCGGUCAGUACUGACAUGGCCAUGAGCAGGAGAUGGCCGUGUCUGGGAGACCUUCCUGCUCCUUGGGCCGUUCCUUUCAGGGGCUUAAAGCUGCCUGAACACACCAGAUAAAAUUAGAAACUCGUAGGGCCAUUAUUAUUGUGUGUGAAUGUUAUUGCCUGUUACCAAUGAAACAGAACUUUGUGCUUACAGCCAAGGAGUACUACAAUAUUGAAACUUCCUGCUUUGUUUGCUUGUGAAGCGUCAUCACAAUGGUUUGGAAAUCCAGCACAAGGAAAAAUAGCAAUUUCUGGUUUGGUUUGUCAUCUUACUGAUCUGCUGUGAGUGCAUUCUCUGAAAGAAAAGAAGCGCUCAUGCUCUGAAAGCAUAUUUUGCCUUUUAUUUUUGGCCAAGAAUAGUUACUUUAAUCUCGUAAAUUGCUGAGUACGUAUAAAGUUGAAAAUCUUCAGAAAAUAACAUGCAGCCCAUACUAGGUACAAAUCCAGUUUUGUGUGCCAGACUGAUUCCCAAAGAAAAUCACAUAAAAACAUAUACUUUUUAAGAUUAAGGAAAUUUAAUUCUCUUUCCUCUUCCCCUUCAUCUAGGCUAACUUACAACUUCUGAAAUUGAAACUUUUUUUUUUUUUAACUGUUAAAAACCUGUUCAAAUCAGUAUUUGCAACAUUAGUUGCUCUCAUUUAUGUGCUAUGUGACUCCACACAACCUUUUUCUGUAGUGAUUGGCAGAAAAGAGACGUGCUUCAGAAGAUAAUCAAAAUGUGGGGAAAAAAAACCUUUUUUGAGUCAAAAUAAAAGCAUUUUCUGCUUUUUGUUGAAAAAUUAAAGAAAAAAGUUCCUCUGGUUUAACUUAGUGCCACAUUAAGUUGUCUUAUCUAAUAAUUAAAUUAAUGAUGUAUUUGGAUAAUGUUUGAAUUUUUAAUUUGAAGCUUAUUGGAAUGAUUUUGUUAUGUUUGAAGUGAAACUUCUCAGUUACAGAUCUCCAAAUUCUGUUGAACUUUCUUUGUUCUGUCACCCUUGAAGUGAAAAUAACUGAUUAUCAAAAUCAAAAUUUUGGGCUUUUUUUUUAAUCUUCCCCUACCCCGAAUUUAUUCUAUAUUUUGUUGCUUGGAGGGGAGCUGAGGAUGGUGUAAGUCAUGCUACUAUGCAUAAAGUCUAUUAAUGGUUUUUGGGGGGCCCACCCUUGUUCUAUAUUGGCUUUCUUUUCAUUAGGUCUGACAUUUGAGGGCUGACUUCUGAGAGGUGCUAGAAAGCACAAGGGAGCCGUGUAGGUCUGUGCUGCAUAUCCAGAACACCACACCUGUGGUGUGAUGGCUGAACUACAGGUGCAGCACCUGCCUGUACUGUGUGAACCUGUGUUACAGGUCAAACUCAGCCACAGAUAAGUGAGAUCAGUGACGUUAUGCUGAUUUAUAGGAGAAAUGACUUUCUCCUAUAAGUUUCAUAGAGUGAGGCACACUGUCUCAUAAGUAAACAAAUUCAUUCUGAUUGUCAGACAGUGCUACCACCAGACCUCAGCUUGUGUGUGCAGAGCCAGUGACUGAUGCCUUGGAUGACCUUGGGUGUUUUGGCAAGAUGGAUGUUUGCAAGCACUGACUGCCAACUGUUGUUUUAUUGCUUUAUGUAGUAAAGAUGUGAUCUGUAUUUCCACCUUGUUAUUGGAAACAAUCGGCCAAGUUGUACAGGUAGUCAAUUUAAAGUAUGUAGUUUCAAAAUUGCAUAAGCAAACCAUUACUAGAAUGCACGCUUCCUUAUGAUGCAGUUUCCUAAACUCUCCUUCCCCACUACCAUAUCUUUGGUAUUAGUAGGGAAAAUGGUGAAUCGUUUCACUUCAGACAUAGGUGCCAUUAGGUAGCUGUCAUGUCUACCUACAGCUUGCCUCCUCACUUCCCUGCAUCCUGCAGGCCAACAUGAAGUUUCUACAUAGUGAUAAGUCAGUGUACACCUGUAGUCAAGUUUCAGGCUUGAAAUAAAAGAUUUUAGAAACCAAAUGGUGCUUGCAAAAUCUCUAGACCACUUGUGUUUAACAUCAUCUUGAGAACCAUGUGUGUUUAGCAUCAUCAUGCUUAACGUCACUGGAAGACAAAGGGACAUGACCAGCUUCUUUUCAGCGGUCUUUGGAGAAAUAGUCAUAAACUGGAGCACAGGAAGUUCUAAAGGAGCUUAUUCAUGGUGAGGGUGACAGAGCACUGGAACAGGUUGCCCAGGGCGGCUGUGGAUUCUGCUUCUCUGAAAAUAUUCAAGACCUGCCUGGAUGCUGAGCUGUGUUGCCUGCUUGCUGUAAGGACCUGCUUUGUAGGGGGCUGGUCUCGAUGAUCUCUUGAGGCCCCUUCCAAGCCUGUGAUUCUGCCACUAAAAUGUUACCUAAUUCAGGAAAGGAUUCCUACUGCCAGAAGAUGAUUUCUUCAACUAUUCCUUCUAACUUUGCGUUCAUAUUUUCCUACUGGACUCAUCAUGAUGGUGUCAAAGUACUUUGUCAGAGAUGCAGCUUUGAAAUCCAGUGGAUGUGUCACAUAUUUGCUGUUGCAUAUACUAGCCUGGGUUUCUUUUCCUUGCUAACAUGGUGCGAAUGCAUGUAGCCACUUAACAGCGAAGACAUGAAUCACAGCCUAUUGUAUUAUUUUUUUUACUCAUUUUUUCCCAGCUUUCUGAUUCAUUCAAAUGGAAGAAAUUUCUAUGGCAAAAUUCAAGGUGUCAAAAUAUCCAUCCCAAGAAUACAAUGCUUGAUUGUUUUGACUGCUGUAAUUUCCUUCCUGGAAACCAUGAUGGUGGACCAAACACUGAUGACUUAUUUUCAGAAAAGAGAAUUUACUUGACUUCUUGGAAUUAGUAAGGUGAUAUGUAAAGGAUCUCCAAGUUCUCAGAAGAGCAAACCGGAUAGCGACCAGUACGAGGAUUUAAAGAGAAUAGCGCUGAACUUGUUUAUUUCACAUGAACAUUAUAUCCAGAAAUGGAAGAGGUCAUAAUUGGUGUGUGGACUUCAGUGUACUGGUAAUCAAGAAAACAGAUUGAGUUAACGUGAUCAUCAGUGUUUAAGUGCAGAUUACUCAUGGCAACUUGUUGGCCUCAUUGCAGCGUGGUAGAUAAAAUUUCUUCCUCCUUCAGGAGUAGUUCAAGUAAAUGUGUUACUGUAGGUCAUUUUGCCUUACAAAUGACUUGGCAAGUGAGAUUGCAGAAAAUGGUUUAAAUAUGUGAUAGCAUAAAGGUAACUGAUCAAGAAGCAGGAAAUUUUUUUCUACUAUAAAGUAUUUGAUGGAACUAAAUUUAAUUAAAAUUUCCAUCUUCAGACUUCUCACAGUAUUGAGAAAUGUUUCACAGAUCCAAGUCCUUGUCUUGUUGGUCCAACAGUGCUGUAAGCGGGGAACCUCCAGUGUUUUCCAGUUCACUUCCCUGCAGCAUCUUCAGUUUCUGGCUUUUGCAAUGCAGGCCUUAAUGGCUAGAAAAGGACCCUUGGGUCUUCCAACUCUGACUUCUGCUUUACCUUUAAACAUGGCUAGAUGAGCUAGUCUGAAAUACAACUGAGUUUAAAAUAUUUAUUCCUUUAGAUUUCAGGCCUCUUUGUUUUGUUUUGAAACAAACAAAAUCGUAGUGCUUCAUUGCUACUGGGGUGCUUGUGCCUGAUUUAGAAAUCAUAGCACAGAUGGAAUUGCAACCCACCUUUAGCUUACACCUUCAGUGCUGAGGCUGAAAGACCCAAACUACAUAAACUGUCAAUUUCUUCAGCUGUGUUCGUGGAAACUACAGAAGUUCUGUAAAUCUCCCUCUUGAACUCUUAAACCUUGUAUUGAGGAAGCAUCACACUUGCAGCAAAGGUUAUAGGAGGCAAGGCAAUGCACUGACACAGUAGAAAACCAUUACUGGCUGCAGGGAAAGCACAAUUCUUUUUCUCCCCUGACUUACAGUUAUCAAUGCAUGGGAGAACGUGCAGGUAUCUUAUGUUGCUACCUCACAGCAAGCAAGUGUAGGAGAAUUGGAUAAAAAGAUGAUGUCUUCCAGGGUCUUCUGUAUAUUAAAAAGCUCUGCAUCAGCUUUCCAGAUCAGAUGCUUCCCCUGAUGUUUUGCCCAAGGUGAGUAAGCUUGCUGAGCAGCAUAUCUGAGCUGAGUGGCCCAUGCUUGGAAGUCCCUGAGCCGCAGCCUUGAUAGAACAAAUAGGUUCUACACAGACAGGAAAACUGGCUUUAAUCACCCUUAGUCUCCCAGAGAAUGUCUCAGAUUUUCUUACAAGCUCCUGGUUUCUGAAAUGUCAGCCAGAGGGCUGUCUCCUGUUAUGAAAAUAGAAUUAAGAUAAAUGUCUUACUUCUAAUAAUUUCAAUCUCUAUCAGGUUCCUGAAAUUCUUCUAAUCUCUGCUGAACUUCUCACAAAAGCUCUGGUUUAAUGGCCUUCUUGCUGGCCUUAAGAUCGAUUCUCAGUGUAACUUUCGGACAGUGUUACGGAUUUAAUUUUUCUUAAAAUUCUAACUAAAAUCCUAAUGCAGCUUUGGUAUCAGUGGCAGUUGAGUUUCCUGAGUAUCUGAAAAGAAGUCCUAAAUCAUAUCCAUAAAAAGGAAAACUGCUGUGAUGACUAGCCUCUCAGUUGAAUAGUAACUGAGCAAUAAUCUGCACAUGUUUAUUUCAUUUUGAGCAAUCAGUCUCAUUUUAAUCCUCACUUAAAGGCAGAAUGUGCCCUGCCAAACCACACUCUGGUGGGUUUUAUAGUUUUCCUUAACCUGGGGUCAAAUUGCUAUUACUGCAGGUAUUACUGCAGGUAUUUGGAUCUGAAACUCAAAUUAGAAAAAUUAGAAUAAGAGAGAAUAUGGGAAAGACAAGAAUAAAACAGUAUGAUAAACUCAUAUUCAUCUCUCUGGUGAGGAUAGAAGGAUUUAUACUCUAAUCUCUUUCCUAAAAUAUAGUUAAUCUCCUUUUAGUAAGGCUUAAUAACUCCAAUCAUAUUUUUCAGUGAGGAAAAGUGGCAAAGUUAAUUUAACGCUCUAGUUGUAAAGCUAUUCCCCCUAAUAUUUAUUUUAAAAGCUAUAGACAUUUAACACCUUAGUGACAAAAUGCUUUCUUCCCUUUAAGCAUUAAAGAGAGCCACUGUCUGCAGUGAGCACUGUUCUUGCUGCUGCUGUUUGCAAGGAAUGCUCCUUGUUGGUGCUUGUCUCCUGUAAGACACACCUGUAUCUGGUGGGAUCACUGUGCAGAGCUAUGUGCUGCAAGGCUUUGGUGACCUGUAGAGAGCAGCUCACUUUGCAGGAUGCUCUUGUGCAUUUCAUCUCAUCUCAUCGCUUCCAGGGAAUGCAGAAAACAGGGAGACUCACUGCUCUGCACUGCCUUAGCCAUUGCCCCAGGACUAUUUUCCUUCCUUAUGGCCUAGGUGUAUGCAUACACACAUGUGGAUCCACAUGCUCUUGGACUGUGAUUCUUUAUGAAACGUAUAUAUGUGAGAAAGAACCCACAGCCCAGAAACAGCUGCAAAUGGAAUCAGUUCAAGCACCUUUACUUUGUCACACCACUAAGAAAACAACAUGCUGAAAAAUGUCUCUUCCACCCCAUCACUUUUUAAGCUGUCUUAUCCACCUGCUUCUGAGCUCCCAACCAGCUUGUGCCAAAUAUGGCAAUAAAACCUUUUUUUGCUGUAUCACCCCCAAGGCAGUAGGUAUUUUUCCAUACAACACUGAACCCUGGAAAUUCUGUUUUGUUGCUUUCGAUACUUGUUCAACAAACUAUGGGAAUAUCUGCUUGGUGAAGUUUCUUGCCAUGUUAUCAGGCUUCAACAUUUUCUCAGUGCUUUGCUCCAUUGGCCAAUCUAGUUUUAAACACGCAGGACUGUGAGUGUGCUUAGAAAAAAAAACAACAAAAAUAACAAACAUUCCUAUCAGUUUUGUUAAUUUUCUGAUAA
Long non-coding RNA from Tympanuchus pallidicinctus (lesser prairie-chicken), 26299 nucleotides. RefSeq lists it as uncharacterized. The record is from RefSeq and is a predicted model, not a curated record. NCBI's taxonomy places the organism in Eukaryota, Metazoa, Chordata, Aves, Galliformes, Phasianidae. The transcript has 3 exons.